Acinonyx jubatus (cheetah) is the source of this 2850-nucleotide long non-coding RNA. RefSeq lists it as uncharacterized. The record is from RefSeq and is a predicted model, not a curated record. The transcript is spliced from 3 exons. Lineage: Eukaryota; Metazoa; Chordata; Mammalia; Carnivora; Felidae.
UGUGAAAUUUAACAAUCUGAUUCUACAACUUCUAUGGGAAAGCAAAGGGUUAAGAGAACCAAGACAAAUUGGAAGACUAACAAGGCUCCUUAUACAUGCAUAGUAACUUAGACAGUGUGGCCCUGGUGCAGGGAUGGACAGAAGGAUGAAAUAAAACAGAGUGUCACUAACAGUGCCACGUGGGUACUGAAAACAGUGCCACAUGCCCCAAAAAGAUGAUGCUGAAAUCUAGUGGAGAAGGAAUGAACUACUCACAGUGGUGUUUGGAUGUAAUCAAUAUAAACUUUGAUCCCUAGCAUAAAUUGUAUGGAAAAAAAACAAAUCCCAGGGUAUUAAAAGGCCUAAAUAUGAAAAACCACAAUUUUCACAUCUUUAGAAAAACCAAAAGCUCCUAUAAGCAAGGUGAAGAGACAAGCCUGAAGCUAGUGGAGGAUAUUUGUAACAUAUAAAACCAGGAAAGGAUUACAUGGACAAAUGAAGAAAGCGAUAAGAAAAUCGAUGGGAAAAAGGCAAACAAGCAUGUCGAAAAAUAGGCAAAGGCUCUGAACAAAUCACAGAAGGCAAAUCACAGAAGAAAAUCGCGGGAAGGACAAGCAUAUAUAUGUGACUUGCUGCGUAAUCAGGGAAAGGAGAAGACAGAGACUUAAAAGUCUGGUACCAGCCAGGUCCAUCAGGGAAGCCACAUCAGAGGCUGUGCAAUGCCAUACACACAACGGAGAGAUCAGAGGAAGUCGGUGCCUCGAAUACAGCAGGUGCUCCGGACAUGCGCUCUCUUCCCCUCAUGGCUCGGGCUCCUGCCUCCCUAGGACUCUCACGUGGCCCAUCCUCUCUAAAACAUAGAACCCACGACAGAGGCAGCCGCAGUGCCACGGAGGAAGGGGGGGGCUUUCAGUCAGAGGACCCGGACUUAUUGUGGACCUCUGCACAGGUUCUUUGACUCUGCAUCGGUUUCCUCUUCUGCAGAGAGAUAACUACAGCGACCUUGACGUGACCCCGCUGAUGCCAACGGGCCAGUGAAGCUGCAGCUUAAACUGGACAGAGGCACACAAAGGGGAGUCAGCACUAAUGCCCCACUGCUGGGGGUCACGUGCCAGGUCUCUUCAUUGCAAUCAAUGGUUCUCGCCCAGAAAGAGCAUCAGCCUUUCCAACUCCUGCUUGCGUGGAGGAAUCAGGACCCCGCCAGCGCAAGCAACCAAUAGGAGAAAAUGGCGGCUCUAUUCUUUUUUCCUGCCAGUGUGUAACCUUCAUGGGGGUGGACAGGCUAGAUUUCAAACAAGGGGCAGGUUGACUCUUCCUCUGUGUCUAUUUCCAGAGCUGUAAUGUACACUCUCUUUCUCCCACAUCCUGCCUUCUAUUUUCUUCCCUCUGCAAGGCACUUUUAAUACCGAUUUAUUAAAAAACAGGCAAUUUAAGAUCCGGCUUAAAAAGAGUCUCUUGCAUCAUUAGGCUGAGUUAAAAUUCCGAGCACAAAGGCUUCUGGAGGAGAAACACAGGACACGCAGCCAGGAGGCUGGACUUUGCUAGAUGUUGCUGAGCCAACAGCUGCCCAUGGGACCCGAGGCAAAGCCACAUGACCUCUUUGGGGCCCCACCUUCUCAUCCUAAGUUCUUAUAGGACAUGAAAAGACCCUCAGAACACUAGUUCACUCUGCACACACACAUUUAUAUUUAACACUCACAUUUAUAUGUUUAUGUUUUAACACUGGGGUGGGAUCUUUUCCAAUAUGUACAUUAUGAAACUCUGGCUCAGGUUUCAGAGCCAAGGAGCCCUGGAACCACCCAGGACCGCUCUUUCUGGGUGCACUGUCCUCAUCCCCAGCUGUUUCCAAAAUCAGUCACUUUCCCUUUUGAUGUCUGGGACCCAUUACUUUCAUUUUUGACUUAACCAACAGGUGUUCUCAGACUCUUUUCGUGAUGGGCUGUCUUCCCUCGGGGUUCCAGGCAGAUGGAAUUUUUCUUAAAUGAUUACCGAGGGGCACAGAGAAAUAUAUUUUCCCGGCUCCCCCGGCUCCGCUGUUGGAACUGCAGUCUGUUGCGACCACCCUGACUUCUCGACAUUUCCUGCUUCUUGGAAGAUGCAGGGAGGCCUCCUCCUUCCAGGGGUGUAGCUUCAAGACGUCUGAGCCUCCGUCAGCCUGGGUCUUUGACGAGACGUGUGGAAGAGUGACGCCACCAAGCCACACUGAACGUGUGACAGGGGCAGGAAAUAAGAACAGAAAUCUUCGUGUGACCUAACUAGUCCCUGGGAAAGUCAUCAAAUAGCAGGCAACCAAUGAUAAAAUGACGACUGGCAUCUUGAAAUCUAGUAAAAGUUUCUGUUUAGUAGCCAUAGAAAAACAGAAAAGUGUUUACCACCCUGCAAGGUCCCACAGGACCAGAACGUACUCGGCUGGUUAGGUCGACUCUAAAAGCCUGUUGGAAAAGUACCACGAGCACAAGUAACAGGAACAACUACAACAGCUACCUCAUCUGAGUGCUCGGAGAGCGCCAGGACCCGCCAUCUCCUUCAAACUUCACAAGGAACCUUGGAGGGAGUUAUUAUUACAAUUGUCCCCAUCUGACAAAUGAAAAUCUCUAAAAGCAGUCAUUUCACUGUAAUAGUUUACAACAACAGAGUGGGAGAGAAUGUGCAUCUAGGUUGGUUUGUUUCACACCCUAUAGUCCUGGUGUCAGUUUACGCCAAUGACCAUGACUUGAGUAUCAGGGCAGCCGGCCUAGAGUGGCACAGAAAUGAAGGAAGGAAACCUCUAGUAUGUCUACUAUGUAAAGAAGUUCACGGACAGUGUUGGAUGCCAGUCCUUCCAGGAAUAAAUACGUCCAAUCUUUCUAAAAAUAAAAAAAUAGAAGCUCA